AGGAGCUUGGAGAUCUUGUGAAGACAGCUGAUACUGACCUUGCUCUCAAGAUAUACAUCAAAGCUAGAGCGAUUCCUAAAGUUGUAGCAGCAUUUGUAGAGAGGAGAGAAUUUGAUAAGAUUUUGAUAUAUUCAAAGCAGGCAAGGUUGAAUGAGAUAAUAACUUCAGGAGCCGACUUCUCACAAUAAUGGAUCACCUGAAUAUUUGUGGAUGGUUAAUGGAGCUGGACUUUCUCCUAAUGCAUCCGGGUGGAGUUAACUAAGAAGGUUACCGAACAAGUGAGGCUUCUAGCUAAAGAUGAAGAUGAAAAACUUGCAGAAACAAGUUCCUACGAUGUCUUCCCUCCAUAUGAUCAAGCUAAGGCUCUGGGAAAGACCAAUAUUGAUG
Molecule: long non-coding RNA, 387 nt
Organism: Spinacia oleracea (spinach)
Lineage: Eukaryota; Viridiplantae; Streptophyta; Magnoliopsida; Caryophyllales; Amaranthaceae
Exons: 4
Source: RefSeq, a predicted model, not a curated record